This 408-nucleotide ribosomal RNA is filed under the name uncultured bacterium. RNAcentral's name for it is "bacterial SSU rRNA". It matches the Rfam family "Bacterial small subunit ribosomal RNA", at positions 355 to 775 of the family's 1533-position model. The record is from RNAcentral.
UGGGGAAUAUUGCACAAUGGGCGCAAGCCUGAUGCAGCGACGCCGCGUGGGGGAUGACGGCCUUCGGGUUGUAAACCUCUUUCAGCCACGACGAAGCGUAAGUGACGGUAGUGGCAGAAGAAGCACCGGCCAACUACGUGCCAGCAGCCGCGGUAAUACGUAGGGUGCGAGCGUUGUCCGGAAUUACUGGGCGUAAAGAGCUCGUAGGUGGUUUGUCGCGUUGUUCGUGAAAUGCCACAGCUUAACUGUGGGCGUGCGGGCGAUACGGGCAGACUGGAGUACUGCAGGGGAGACUGGAAUUCCUGGUGUAGCGGUGGAAUGCGCAGAUAUCAGGAGGAACACCGGUGGCGAAGGCGGGUCUCUGGGCAGUAACUGACGCUGAGGAGCGAAAGCGUGGGGAGCGAACAG